Arabis alpina (gray rockcress) is the source of this 106-nucleotide small nucleolar RNA. It matches the Rfam family "Plant small nucleolar RNA R71". Rfam says of the family: R71 is a member of the C/D box family of snoRNAs containing the C (UGAUGA) and D (CUGA) box motifs. The record is from Rfam. Lineage: Eukaryota; Viridiplantae; Streptophyta; Magnoliopsida; Brassicales; Brassicaceae.
ACUCCAUGGUGAUGACAAGAUCUAGUGUAUCCCUUCAGUUUUUCCCAUGCCUCAUAGAGAGCUUCAUUUGGACCUUGCUUGAAACUUGUAAUGCCGUUUUAUUUAU